UGAAGGAGAGUUCUCCUUGUUCCAGAAUAACCCAUAAUGCACCGGGUGAAUUGCGACGUAGGUGCAACGUAUACAAUGGGCGUUACUACGAUUCCAAUGGAGUUUCCCAUCUCUUCAAAAGUAUAUUUGGUUUAUCCAAAUUAUGUUCGUUUCCGGGUGCACUUUCUAUCGCAAUCCGGUUUGGAAUAAGGACCGGGGGCGGUUCUACAAGAAAGCCCCAAAACCCGAACUCCAACAGGUUUUUCAAGCGAAUUUUUAGGUGCUCUUCACUCCGAUUACAUAUGCCACGGGCCCCAGUGUGGGUGCAUUGCACCGCGCUCAACGGUGGCGCGAUUCGGACUGAGUUAGCAUGCUAGCCAGCAAAAUGUAUUUAUACUCCACCCCUCUCCAACCGGCUGUAGCGAUUAGUCAAUACCCCAUAGUUAGGGGUGAGCUGUAAAACCCAACUUCUCUAUUGGACUUUUCCGUUCAAUUCCUCCCCAUCCACCCCGCUGGAAGAUUGUUGCAUUGGGACGGCCAUAACAAGAAGAGUGUAUUCUGGUAGGAACCCAGUUUCGGAUUCGGGAUUUAAGGCCCACAAGGGGGUUAGGGGUUUAAACUACAAUAAUUUGAUCCAUAAACCCCCCAUGCCUGGCAUUUCUGUCAGUGUUUUGGUCACUUUUAAUAAAAAUGUUUGCCUUUUAUUUUAUGUAAAUAGUGCCAGUUCCUGAAUUUGGCUUUCUACCUCAACACUCCAUUUUCAUUCUCCUCCCAGACGUCUUAACACUAGCAGUAUCUGACGGCCCCUCGUCUCCCCUUCAACCUCCGUGCGCAGCGCACUGUGGUCAUCUCUCGCGGGGGAAAAUAUCAGAUAACAGGAACCCCCUUACUCGGACAAAGCGAGGCUCCAACAAGAGGACGGUGAUCUGUGUUCCCUUUCCAAGUAGCAAACGAGCUCUGUGGCAAUCGAAUCCUCAAAACAGACCGGGCUCCGGUGCUCGCCAUGCCCGGCCCGGCGGCCGGCAGUAAAUCUCGGGUGUACGCAGAUGUCAACACUUUGAAGAGCAGGGAAUAUUGGGACUACGAAACCCACGUGCCUAACUGGAGUAACCAGGAAGACUACCAGUUGGUGCGUAAGCUUGGCAGAGGGAAGUACAGUGAGGUCUUUGAGGCCAUCAACAACAAUGAGAAGGUGGUUGUCAAGAUCCUCAAGCCUGUCAAGAAGAAGAAAAUCAAGCGUGAAAUCAAGAUCCUGGAGAAUUUGCGAGGUGGAGCCAACAUUAUUCGAUUGGUGGACACAGUGAAAGACCCUGUGAUUUUUUCCUCUAUUUGUCCUCUCUCUCAAACCUCUCUACAGUCCCGAACGCCUGCGCUUGUCUUUGAAUGCAUCAAUAACACAGAUUUUAAGGAGCUCUACCAGAAGUUAACAGAUUUUGAUAUCCGUUUUUACAUGUAUGAACUACUUAAGGCUCUGGACUACUGCCACAGUAUGGGGAUAAUGCACCGUGAUGUCAAGCCCCACAAUGUGAUGAUUGACCACCAGAUGAGGAAGCUACGUCUAAUAGACUGGGGCCUUGCAGAGUUCUACCAUCCUGCACAGGAAUACAACGUCAGAGUAGCGUCUCGCUACUUUAAGGGACCUGAGUUACUGGUGGAUUACCAGAUGUACGACUACAGUUUGGACAUGUGGAGUCUUGGCUGCAUGCUGGCCAGUAUGAUCUUUCAGAAAGAGCCCUUCUUCCAUGGCCAGGACAAUUAUGACCAGCUGGUCCGAAUUGCCAAAGUCCUAGGGACAGAGGAACUUUUUGGUUACCUGCGCAAAUACCACAUUGAACUGGACCCACGCUUCAAGGACCUUCUUGGCCAACAGACGCGGAAACGCUGGGAGCAAUUUGUCCAGACCGAGAACCAGCACCUGGUUAGCCCUGAGGCUCUGGACCUGCUGGAUAAGCUGCUGCGCUACGACCAUCAGCAGAGACUGACGGCCACAGAGGCCAUGGAGCAUCCCUACUUCUAUCCUGUGCUGAAGGAACAGUCUCUCUCUAAUGCGGAUGGCAAUAUGGUGUCCAGUGGAUCCACUACUGCUCGAUGAAAGCAGAUCGUAUGAGUCACUUCGCCAUUGUAGUGGUUGGGAUUCGGUUCAAUCACGAAGAACAUUUGUUACCUCGACUUUUUAGCCCUUUGUGGCAGAAACUUCUUCAAGUGUACAGUGAAAAUGGAUCAGAGCGACACCAGACACACCCCCCUUCUCUUUGUCAGUCUGAGGUUGACUUGCCCCAGUUACAUGUCAAGCAGCCAGACCAAUGAGCUUGGUGUCUCACUGCUGCCCCUGUCCUGCUCUGCCCCCUCCUCUUAUCACGAGGUAAACAGAAAAUGUUCAAAGACAAGAAAAAAAGGAUCCUUCCCUGUCAUUAUCCCCCCCUCCUUUGGCCCCCCUCCCUCGUUUAACUAAGCAUGGAGAAUGAAAAGGAACGUGAGCCUGCCCCCCCCCCCCUCCUUGGUCAGGCUGUCUGUUCAGUGUUCAGCCACUUGGCAGGCCUAUGCUCAGCCUCCACACACUGUAGUACCAAAGUGUUAUGGUGGACAUUUUCUCUGCUCUAGGUAGAAUGAUAAUAUGAAUAAAAAUAAUACUUUUUUUUAUA
This is an RNA transcript of Salvelinus sp. IW2-2015, 2621 nucleotides long. It is a transcript of the gene named casein kinase II subunit alpha', with no coding region annotated. NCBI's taxonomy places the organism in Eukaryota, Metazoa, Chordata, Actinopteri, Salmoniformes, Salmonidae. The record is from RefSeq and is a predicted model, not a curated record.